CCCUUAGAUGUUCUGGGCCGCACGCGCGCUAAACUGACGAAUUCAACGAGUUUAUAACCUUUGCUGGGAGGCAUGGGUAAUCUUGUGAACGUUCGUCGUGAUGGGGAUAGAUUAUUGCAAUUGUUAAUCUUCAACGAGGAAUUCCUAGUAAACGCAAGUCAUCAGCUUGCAUUGAUUACGUCCCUGCCCUUUGUACACACCGCCCGUCGCACCUACCGAUUGAAUGGUCCGGUGAAUUCUUCGGACUGCGGCUUUGACUCGAUUUCGGUCGAGGCGUUGCUGCGGGAAGUUGAUUAAACCUUACCAUUUAGAGGAAGGUGAAGUCGUAACA
Molecule: ribosomal RNA, 331 nt
Filed under: uncultured eukaryote
Lineage: Eukaryota
Description: partial 18S ribosomal RNA
Rfam family: Eukaryotic small subunit ribosomal RNA
Source: RNAcentral